CGAGUCAUUGUAGCAUACAAGGCAUACGGCUCAGUAACGCGUAGUCCACUUAACCUAUGGACGGGAAUAACCUCGGGAAACUGAGAAUCCUGCCCGAUAGAACAUUAUGCCUGGAAUGGUUUAUGUUCCAAAUGAUUUAUCGCCGUAGGAUGGGACUGCGGCCUAUCAGUUUGUUGGUGAGGUAAUGGCCCACCAAGACUAUUACAGGUACGGGCUCUGAGAGGAGUAGCCCGGAGAUGGGUACUGAGACACGGACCCAGGCCCUAUGGGGCGCAGCAGGCGAGAAAACUUUGCAAUGUGCGAAAGCACGACAAGGUUAAUCCGAGUGGUUUCUGCUAAAGAAACCUUUUGUCAGUCCUAGAAACACUGAUGAAUAAGGGGUGGGCAAGUUCUGGUGUCAGCCGCCGCGGUAAAACCAGCACCUCAAGUGGUCAGGAUGAUUAUUGGGCCUAAAGCAUCCGUAGCCGGCUCUGUAAGUUUUCGGUUAAAUCUGUACGCUCAACGUACAGGCUGCCGGGAAUACUGCAGAGCUAGGGAGUGGGAGAGGUAGACGGUACUCGGUAGGAAGGGGUAAAAUCCUUUGAUCUAUUGAUG
RNAcentral lists this ribosomal RNA (594 nucleotides) under uncultured crenarchaeote. Its description in RNAcentral is "bacterial SSU rRNA". It matches the Rfam family "Archaeal small subunit ribosomal RNA", at positions 54 to 655 of the family's 1478-position model. Lineage: Archaea; Thermoproteati; Thermoproteota. The record is from RNAcentral.